RNAcentral lists this ribosomal RNA (1188 nucleotides) under Triticum aestivum (bread wheat). Its description in RNAcentral is "partial small subunit ribosomal RNA". The record is from RNAcentral. Lineage: Eukaryota; Viridiplantae; Streptophyta; Magnoliopsida; Poales; Poaceae.
AUGGAAGGCGAGGCGCGGCGGCCGCCGGCGUGCGUAUCCAAGGUGCUCGACGACGACAACCUCCUGACGGAGAUCAUCGUCCGCGUCGGCUUCCCCACCAGCCUCGUCCGCGCCGCCGGCGUCUGCAGGCGCUGGCUCAGCCACGCCUCCGACCGCGCAUUGCUCCGCCGUUUCCGCGAGCUCCACCCUCCCAGACUCCUCGGCUUCUACAUCGUAGAGUGGGGGUAUCCGGCCGCCGCACGCUUCUUCCCCAUACUGCCUCAGCCCCCAGAGCUCGCUGCCGUCGUCCGCCGCGCAAACUUCAGCGAGGGGCUACCCUUCUCCAAAAAAGAAGGGGAUACCAUGGUGGGCUGCUCGAACGGCAGCGUCUUCACCCGCCGCCUAAACUUCACCAGCCGCAGAAACUUCGACCUGGACACCUACGAGCUUGUAUUCACAGUGCACAGCCCGCUGCGCUAUGAAGGAGGUAUGGCCGUCCUCCCAGGAUUACAUCUCAGAAUGCCCUCUUUGUACAGUUGGGCACAACUCUUCUCCAAAGAAGAUGGGGACGGGUCGUCCUACUUUUACGUCACGGUGGAGGCCCUGGAUACCAUGGUACCUACGUUAAAUGUUUAUAUGUUGGGAAAUGGUGAUGCUGCCUGGCACAAACAUCUCACGUUGGCGUCGGACCUCCUCUGGCGUCCAUCUAGUCCGAAAGGCGUGCUCGUUGACAACAAAAUCUAUGUUGCGACCUACAAUGCAAUUGUUGUCCUGGAUUUGACAUCCUCAACCUUAUCGACAAUUCAGCUCCCACACGGGGUGGGUUUUGGCCUAGGCGCCACCGUGUUGUCACGGGCCGAUGAUGGUUCUGUUUUAUAUCUCAUCCAUAUCAAAGAGCUUCAACUUCACAUCUGGCUCCACAAUGGGGACAAUUGGCUGCUGGUGGACACCAUUUGCUUGAGUGAAAUGUGUGCUAGUUUUCCUGAGGAUGAGCUUACUAGUAUCCGGAUAAACCAUGUGGGGGACUAUAAUGAGUAUGUAUUCUUGGAGAUGGAUCAAUAUGCACUCUACUUGGAUGUCAAGUGCAGGACGCUGCGUAAGGUGUGCGAGAUGACAGCAGAUGAGUAUUCUUUGGGUGAUAUCUAUCCUUUUAUGAUGAGCUGGCCUCCCAUUUUCCCUACUCUCAGUCCUGCAAGGGAUGCCACUUGA